UGGUUAAACUACACUCAGCGAUUUAAUUCGUUUCGUACGCAUGAAAUUAUAUCGUUAUUUUAUUUUAACCUAAAGAGAUAAUCUCUUCACCCUUCGUUGCUCUUCGACCGAAACGUUGGUCCGUCUGCCGCGCCUCCCUUUUCCAUCACGUAGUUUUAAAUUCUUUUAAGGCUAUUUGAUGGGGAAGGGAGGUGCGGCGGAGGGACCAACGCGUAGGUGGGGGAACAACUUAGGCGUGUUUUGAUUUCCCCCUUCAUAUUCCCGGCAUUUUCAACGCCCCCUUGGGGCACCUUCUUGUUAAGGGAUGUUGUUUCUGCCGUAACAAAACGGAGGGGCACAAAGAACGACGCUGUUAGGAGCGUAAAAAAAAAAACGGUGUGG
This 381-nucleotide small RNA is filed under the name Plasmodium vivax Sal-1. RNAcentral's name for it is "Plasmodium RNA of unkown function RUF1". It matches the Rfam family "Plasmodium RNA of unkown function RUF1". The record is from Rfam by way of RNAcentral. Lineage: Eukaryota; Apicomplexa; Aconoidasida; Haemosporida; Plasmodiidae.